This 520-nucleotide transfer RNA is filed under the name Aeromonas veronii bv. sobria. The stretch from base 207 to 279 matches the Rfam family "tRNA". Lineage: Bacteria; Pseudomonadati; Pseudomonadota; Gammaproteobacteria; Aeromonadales; Aeromonadaceae. The record is from RNAcentral.
CCUUAAGAUGUCGUGUUGUUGAGUGUUCACACGGAUUGCCUUGAUUCAAAGUAGUUAGAGCAAAGACCUGGUGCGAAAGCGUCAGUGCUUGUUCAACCCACGGUUGAACAAGAGAAGCCCUUUUGUUGGGUGUUGGGUGUUGGGAUGUGAAUAAUGGCGAAAGUCGUUACCCAAUCACCUGCGCGCAAGCGCAAAGACAAAUCCGGGUCCCCUUCGUCUAGAGGCCUAGGACACCGCCCUUUCACGGCGGUAACAGGGGUUCGAAUCCCCUAGGGGACGCCACUUCUCUUCUUGCUAACAAGAAUGCAGAGUUAAGAAGUUAAUUCUUAACUCUGUUUUCUUCGGCCUUGCGCCGUUGCAAACAUGCUCUUUAACAAUCUGGAAAGCUGAUUUAAAAAGUAGUUCUCAAACAUUUGUUACAAGUGCUUUGGAAACUUCUUGGCGAAAACCAAAUUUUAUUUGGUCCUUGUUGUACGACAACAGGCUGUGCCGGUUUCACCGACACUUCUUGGGGUUGUAU